GACGAACGCUGGCGGCGUGCUUAACACAUGCAAGUCGAACGGAAAGGCCCUGCUUUUGUGGGGUUCUCGAGUGGCGAACGGGUGAGUAACACGUGAGUAACCUGCCCUUGACUUUGGGAUAACUUCAGGAAACUGGGGCUAAUACCGGAUAGGAGCUCCUGCUGCAUGGUGGGGGUUGGAAAGUUUCGGCGGUUGGGGAUGGACUCGCGGCUUAUCAGCUUGUUGGUGGGGUAGUGGCUUACCAAGGCUUUGACGGGUAGCCGGCCUGAGAGCGUGACCGGGCACAUUGGGACUGCGAUACGGCCCAGACUGCUACGGGAGGCAGCAGUGGGGAAUAUUGCACAAUGGGCGGAAGCCUGAUGCAGCAACGCCGCGUGCGGGAUGACGGUCUUCGGGUUGUAAACCGCUUUAGCCUGUGACGAAGCGUGAGUGACGGUAAUGGGUAAAGAAGCACCGGCUAACUACGUG
RNAcentral lists this ribosomal RNA (468 nucleotides) under uncultured bacterium. RNAcentral's name for it is "partial 16S ribosomal RNA". It matches the Rfam family "Bacterial small subunit ribosomal RNA", at positions 28 to 507 of the family's 1533-position model. The record is from RNAcentral.